Molecule: long non-coding RNA, 342 nt
Filed under: Gossypium raimondii (Peruvian cotton)
Lineage: Eukaryota; Viridiplantae; Streptophyta; Magnoliopsida; Malvales; Malvaceae
Description: long non-coding RNA (GRAI_LNC003335)
Source: RNAcentral
UGAGGUAAAAAAAGCGGGGAUUUUGGUUUUUGGUGGGUGCCCUUUAUGGGGAAUGGGAAAUUUAAAGCGUGUGUGGGGGCAAUAUGGGGGGACACAGUGCUUUCAACGGCAAUAAAUCUUAACGGACUUUAAAAGGACAAGAACCUUAUUUUUUGAGUGUUGGACGGUUGAGAUUUUCUUUUUCUUUAUUUUAUUUUUAAAAAUUGUCGUUAAUUUCUUAAAUUUUAGAGAUAAAGUAAACUUGACAAUUUUUUCAUUUUGGUCCUUGAUUGUUUUGUCUGCAUUGGUCUUGAAACUCGACAGGUUUUUUCAAUUUAGUCCCAAAACUUGAAUUAUAUUAAG